AAUGCACAGUGUGGAGAACCUGGAAUAAAUACAAAGGAUGACUUUAUGUUAGACCAUUAAGGACAGUAACAGGGUAUAAGAGUGGCAACACCACUCUGGGGUGUUACAUAUGCGGUCGCUCAAAGAGGGAGCAGGAGAAG
This is a long non-coding RNA of Bufo bufo (common toad), 140 nucleotides long. RefSeq lists it as uncharacterized. The transcript has 3 exons. Lineage: Eukaryota; Metazoa; Chordata; Amphibia; Anura; Bufonidae. The record is from RefSeq and is a predicted model, not a curated record.